This 274-nucleotide ribosomal RNA is filed under the name uncultured bacterium. RNAcentral's name for it is "partial 16S ribosomal RNA". It matches the Rfam family "Bacterial small subunit ribosomal RNA", at positions 523 to 796 of the family's 1533-position model. The record is from RNAcentral.
AUACAGAGGGUGCGAGCGUUAAUCGGAAUUACUGGGCGUAAAGCGCGCGUAGGCGGUUUAUUAAGUCGGAUGUGAAAGCCCUGGGCUCAACCUGGGAAUGGCAUUCGAUACUGGUAGACUAGAGUCUGGUAGAGGGCAACGGAAUUCCCGGUGUAGCGGUGAAAUGCGUAGAUAUCGGGAGGAACAUCAGUGGCGAAGGCGGCUAUCUGGAUCAACACUGACGCUGAGGUACGAAAGCGUGGGGAGCAAACAGGAUUAGAAACCCCGGUAGUCC